Molecule: ribosomal RNA, 372 nt
Filed under: uncultured Glomeromycotina
Lineage: Eukaryota; Fungi; Glomeromycota
Description: LSU rRNA
Source: RNAcentral
UUGAAAGGGAAACGAUUGAAGUCAGUCGUACCUAUGGGUAAUCAGCCUUUUGGGUGUGAUUUUGUGGAGCGUGGAGAGUUAAACGCCUUCAUGCCUGCAUAUUCGUGCACUUUGGGUGUACUUGCCCGUGUGUAAGUUAACAUCAAUUUUGGUGGUCAUAAAAUGGCUGGAGGAAUGUAGCUUCGAUCUUGUAUUGAAGUGUUAUAGCCUUCGGUAGAUGUGACGAUCGGGAUUGAGGAUUGCAACGGAUACCCUUCGGGGCUACCUAUCUGAUCUCUGAUCGUUGCUCUGGUGCCGAAAGCUUGCUUACGGUUAUUAAAGUCGAUGGUCAAUAGGUUAGAAUGGGUUAAAUUCGUUAAGGAUGUUGACGUA